RNAcentral lists this ribosomal RNA (377 nucleotides) under uncultured bacterium. RNAcentral's name for it is "bacterial SSU rRNA". It matches the Rfam family "Bacterial small subunit ribosomal RNA", at positions 523 to 898 of the family's 1533-position model. The record is from RNAcentral.
AGACGUAGGGGGCGAGCGUUGUUCGGAUUUACUGGGCGUAAAGCGCGCGUAGGCGGCCAGAUAAGUCGGGUGUGAAAGCCCUCGGCUCAACCGAGGUUCCGCAUCCGAUACUGCUUGGCUGGAGUCUAGGAGAGGAGAGCGGAAUUCCCAGUGUAGCGGUGAAAUGCGUAGAUAUUGGGAGGAACACCCGUGGCGAAGGCGGCUCUCUGGACUAGUACUGACGCUGAGGCGCGAAAGCUAGGGGAGCGAACGGGAUUAGAUACCCCGGUAGUCCUAGCCGUAAACGAUGGGCACUAGGUGUGGGAGGUAUUGACCCCUUCCGCGCCGAAGCUAACGCAUUAAGUGCCCCGCCUGGGGAGUACGGCCGCAAGGCUAAA